Molecule: long non-coding RNA, 280 nt
Filed under: Panax ginseng (ginseng)
Lineage: Eukaryota; Viridiplantae; Streptophyta; Magnoliopsida; Apiales; Araliaceae
Description: long non-coding RNA (PGIN_LNC016655)
Source: RNAcentral
AGGAGGUUAGAGCUGCCAAGUUGGCAAAGAUGGCGGACGAAGCAGAUAGAGCCAUGGAGGUCCUGUUAAAGCAAAGAGAAGAUAUAGCCGAACAGAUGCUUCGGGUGGCGGAAUUACGGGACGAAGCAUCUAGCCAUGAUCGGUCCGAAGGACGAAGUGGGCAUAAGGAGGAGUCACGACGAAAGGGAAAGGAGCCGAAGCGUUCCAUGCGUGUUUCUAGGGAUCAUUCUCGAAGUAGGAGGAGAUCAAGGAGCAGAACUCACGUGGCCUCGAAGAAGGC